UUGCUCUCUUCAGCACAUAUACUAAAACUGAAAUGAUACUGAGAAGAUUAGCAUGGCCCCUAAACAAGAAUGACACAAAAAUUUGUGAAGCAUUCCAUAUUUUU
Urocitellus parryii (Arctic ground squirrel) is the source of this 104-nucleotide small nuclear RNA. The record is from Ensembl. Lineage: Eukaryota; Metazoa; Chordata; Mammalia; Rodentia; Sciuridae.